RNAcentral lists this ribosomal RNA (245 nucleotides) under uncultured bacterium. RNAcentral describes it as "partial small subunit ribosomal RNA". It matches the Rfam family "Bacterial small subunit ribosomal RNA", at positions 26 to 285 of the family's 1533-position model. The record is from RNAcentral.
AGAAUCAACGCUGGCGGCGUGCCUAACACAUGCAAGUCGCACGAGAAAGGGGCUUCGGCUCUGAGUAAAGUGGCGCACGGGUGAGUAACACGUGACUAAUCUACCCUCGAGUGGGGAAUAACCUAGAGAAAUCUGGGCUAAUACCGCAUAACACUUACGAGUCAAAGCAGCAAUGCGCUUGGAGAGGAGUUCGCGGCCGAUUAGUUAGUUGGCGGGGUAAUGGCCCACCAAGACGAUGAUCGGUA